UACGUAGGUGGCGAGCGUUGUCCGGAUUUACUGGGCGUAAAGAGCGCGCAGGCGGCUGGUCAAGUCCGAUGUGAAAGCUCCCGGCUUAACUGGGAAAUUGCAUCGGAAACUGAUCGGCUGGAAGGUGGGAGAGGGUAGCGGAAUUCCCGGUGUAGCGGUGAAAUGCUUAGAUAUGACAUAGAACACCAAUUGCGAAGGCAGUUGACUACGCCAGUAUUGACACUGAGGCACGAAAGCGUGGGGAUCAAACAGG
RNAcentral lists this ribosomal RNA (253 nucleotides) under uncultured bacterium. RNAcentral describes it as "partial 16S ribosomal RNA". It matches the Rfam family "Bacterial small subunit ribosomal RNA", at positions 524 to 776 of the family's 1533-position model. The record is from RNAcentral.